AUCUAGCUGACGAGUCCCAAUUAUGACGAAAGGAGCGUCCUGGAU
This 45-nucleotide non-coding RNA is filed under the name Schistosoma mansoni. Lineage: Eukaryota; Metazoa; Platyhelminthes; Trematoda; Strigeidida; Schistosomatidae. The record is from RNAcentral.